GACGAACGCUGGCGGCGUGCUUAACACAUGCAAGUCGAACGGAAAGGCCCUGCUUUUGUGGGGUGCUCGAGUGGCGAACGGGUGAGUAACACGUGAGUAACCUGCCCUUGACUUUGGGAUAACUUCAGGAAACUGGGGCUAAUACCGGAUAGGAGCUCCUGCUGCAUGGUGGGGGUUGGAAAGUUUCGGCGGUUGGGGAUGGACUCGCGGCUUAUCAGCUUGUUGGUGGGGUAGUGGCUUACCAAGGCUUUGACGGGUAGCCGGCCUGAGAGGGUGACCGGCCACAUUGGGACUGAAAUACGGCCCAGACUCCUACGGGAGGCAGCAGUGGGGAAUAUUGCACAAUGGGCGGAAGCCUGAUGCAGCAACGCCGCGUGCGGGAUGACGGCCUUCGGGUUGUAAACCGCUUUCGCCUGUGACGAAGCGUGAGUGACGGUAAUGGGUAAUGAAGCACCGGCUAACUACGUG
Molecule: ribosomal RNA, 468 nt
Filed under: uncultured bacterium
Lineage: Bacteria
Description: partial 16S ribosomal RNA
Rfam family: Bacterial small subunit ribosomal RNA
Source: RNAcentral